Molecule: long non-coding RNA, 579 nt
Organism: Phyllostomus discolor (pale spear-nosed bat)
Lineage: Eukaryota; Metazoa; Chordata; Mammalia; Chiroptera; Phyllostomidae
Exons: 2
Source: RefSeq, a predicted model, not a curated record
UCAUUCUGAACUUCAGUUUUCUUCCUGUAAAAUGGGCAUGGUAUUUAAAGAAGGUGGUUCUCAUAGUGCCUGCCAUAGCAAGCACUAAAUUAAAAUGUUUCUUUUUUGAUUUCUUAUACAUUUUUGUACCCCUUGAAGUGCUUGGCAGGUGGUAGGUACUCAAUACAUGUCUGUCAUAGUUCAAGGGUUCCAGCUGUCGUUCUUUUAACAGUAAACAGACACUAUAGAUAUUUUAAAAAGGCAAAAUAGAAAAAGGUUACAGGAUAUAUUUUAGGGAAGAAUUAAAAACAAAAAUUACAUUAGGAAAAUAAAAGUAUACAAGAAUACAUAUAAGAUUCAAUAGUUUUAAAGCUGAGACAUCUUAAAAUAUUUUUAAAAAGGAAUUAACUUUUCUAUAUAGCAGCACUUUCAACAAAGUGGAAAUGUACAUAGGAUAGAUGCUCUGGCCAGGAUGCAUAUAUUUAGCUUGAGCAUGUGCAACAAUCUUAGAAAUGAUCUUCAUUAUGAUUUGUAUUGGACUUUGUUAGAGGGAAAUAAGCAUGAGCAAAUGAAUUAAUAAUCACAAAACACAUAUAUACG